This is an RNA transcript of Ipomoea nil (Japanese morning glory), 1552 nucleotides long. RefSeq lists it as uncharacterized. The transcript has 4 exons. NCBI's taxonomy places the organism in Eukaryota, Viridiplantae, Streptophyta, Magnoliopsida, Solanales, Convolvulaceae. The record is from RefSeq and is a predicted model, not a curated record.
UAGGUGGAAAACCCAAAAUGAUAGGCAGAAGGCUCUACCAAUUGUCGCCGCUUCCGUCCAUCUUCAGAAUCGCCACAACGCAAGGAUUCUCCAAUGCAGGCAACCCGUUUCGUAAUGGCUCAGCUUUCUCCCAACUCCUUCAAGCCCAAGCAGGGCGAUCAUAUGCUCGCAGUAGACGUUACUAUGAUCUAUUUAAGGGUCGUGUACCUGGAGCCCAGGAAUUCAGGAAAACUUGGGCUAAAGAAAUGGAGGAUGAGGAUAACUGUUUAUGGACUGGAAGUGAGGGCGAGAGUGAACCUGAAAAUGAGCCAAGUUCUUUGAAGAAGGAAAUCAGAAAGGCCAAACAACGAGCUAUAGAGCACUCAGAUCGCAUUGAUGCAGACGACAGUGAUGAGCUAAGAAGUGUGUGGUCUGGUAGUGAUGAAGAGAAGACGCUGUGGACUGGUAGUGAAGGAGAUGAUGAUGAUGACAUCCCUACAGAAGCUUAUCCAAACGAGAAGAGUGAUGAAUAUAUAGAUAAACUGUUUGAGUUUGAUGAAAAGCCAAAGUAUCGAACACUCUCUGAGGCUUUAAAAGAUGAGGAGGAGCCAGAAGAGUUACCGCGUGGAAAGCAAGCUAGGAAACUUGCAGUUGAAAAUGCCCUUAAGAAAUUGAAGAAGGGGCCUGAUGGUAGAUACAUCAAUGUGUGGGAAGUCAUGAGUGAUCUGGACAUUCUAAUAGGGGCUUUUGAGAACAUCAUUUCAGGGCCAGAAUAUGCUGAACUCAGGCAGGGGGGACCUAGGAAGUUGAAUAUGCAGUUUUUUAAGGACAUUCAAGCUCGUAUGAGAGAUCCAAACUAUAAGUUCUCUCCUGAACUGAAGUUAAAACCGAAGAGCAAAGUGGUCCCGAGAAAGAAGUGGCAGAAGGUAGAAUCUAGACGUAGGAAAGCCCGGAAGCGGUAGAUAAGUUGUAGCCUUUUCUUGGCAUCCAAACUUUUGUAGGUGACUGAAGAAAUGGAGAUGGCAUUUGUAGAAUUUAAUGCAGAAAAGAAUUUCAGCUUUAAUUUGAUAAUACUUGUUAGAUGCUGUCAAAGAUUUGUUUGAUGAAAUGAGGGAUGAUGGAAUAUUGGCUGGUCGAGCUAUGCAAUGGUCAUUGCAGCGAAUGCAGGAUGCAGGUUAUGAUGAAAGUGUGAAUGAAUUGAUCAGAGAAAUGCUUCCAGAUAGGAGAAUUAAGAGUAUUGCAUAUUCCAUGGAUGUUAAUGAGGAAGAAAAUGCUGACUUUGUUUCUGAAGAUGUUGGAGAUCAACUUCAAUUGAAGCCAUGGCUGGACCCUGCUGCUUUAACUAGUGCAUUGCAGCAUUGGAGGGUGGAAAAUUUGUGUGGACAACUCGGUUAGUAUGCAAGAUAUAUGAGGCAGAAACAACAUGGCAAUUCUUUUGCUGGGUUUCUUAUCAACCAGGAUUUACUCAUGAUUUUUACACAAUGUCAAGGAUGAUUGCCAAUUUCUUUUGAUUGGUCCAUGUUAACCACAGUUGAUGAGGCUAAAAGAUUCUAUCCUUUGGAUUUGGUGCAAA